RNAcentral lists this ribosomal RNA (373 nucleotides) under uncultured organism. RNAcentral's name for it is "partial 16S ribosomal RNA". It matches the Rfam family "Bacterial small subunit ribosomal RNA", at positions 527 to 896 of the family's 1533-position model. The record is from RNAcentral.
GUAGGUGGCAAGCGUUGUCCGGAAUUAUUGGGCGUAAAGCGCGCGCAGGCGGUUCUUUAAGUCUGAUGUGAAAGCCCACGGGCUCAACCGUGGAGGGUCAUUGGAAACUGGAGAACUUGAGUACAGAAGAGGAAAGCGGAAUUCCACGUGUAGCGGUGAAAUGCGUAGAGAUGUGGAGGAACACCAGUGGCGAAGGCGGCUUUCUGGUCUGUAACUGACGCUGAGGCGCGAAAGCGUGGGGGGCAAACAGGAUUAGAUACCCUGGUAGUCCACGCCGUAAACGAUGAGUGCUAAGUGUUAGGGGGUUUCCGCCCCUUAGUGCUGCAGCUAACGCAUUAAGCACUCCGCCUGGGGAGUACGGCCGCAAAGGCUG